UACGUAGGUGGCAAGCGUUGUCCGGAUUUAUUGGGCGUAAGCGCGCGCAGGUGGUGCGGUAAGUCUGCCGUGAAAUCUCCCGGCUCAACUGGGAGGGGCGGUGGAGACUGCCGGACUGGAGGGACCUAGAGGCCGGUGGAAUUCCCGGUGGAGUGGUGAAAUGCGUAGAGAUCGGGAGGAACACCAGUGGCGAAGGCAGGUCUCUGGGCCACUACUGACGCUGAGAAGCGAAAGCAUGGGGAGCGAACAGG
This 251-nucleotide ribosomal RNA is filed under the name uncultured bacterium. RNAcentral describes it as "partial 16S ribosomal RNA". It matches the Rfam family "Bacterial small subunit ribosomal RNA", at positions 524 to 776 of the family's 1533-position model. The record is from RNAcentral.